CGGGCGAGCUGAGGCGAGGCGGGCGCGAGCGAGGCGCGAGGCGCGAGCGAGGCGCGCGCGAGGAGGGCGCGAGGCGCGAGCGAGGCGGGGGCCUCCCCAUCUCCCUGAGGCGCCGCGGCGGUCGCGCUAUGUGCCAUGCAGGUUCCCGGGCGGCCGCCUGUAUUCUCGCACGCAGCUUCCCGGGCCCAGCAGCCGUCUCGGUGUGUGGCGCCGAGGCAGGCACACAAAAGAGCGGUUGCAGCUGCCCCCGUGUCGGUCGCCGCGGCGCGGGGUGGAGACCGGCAUCGCCGCUGUCAACCAGGAACCAUCCAAGAUCAGGAGUAAACCAGCAUUUUGUCAUUCUGCUUUUUCUGAGCAAGCCUAGUUUUCCAGUAUUCAACAACUCCAGCUAGAUGAGAUCCCCAUGGCUCCCUUCUGUUCUACAAGCUGUUAGAAUCUGAUGGGCUAAGAAGACUUGUGCAUCAGAACCCAAGCAGCUAAUGGCAUCUGACUUCCUGGCUUUAAGUAGCACCUUUGAAGCAACAGUGUUAAAGCCUACAUUGUAAGUAUAGAAAGUCUGUUCUGUCAAGGAUUUAACUUGAACUUUGACUGUGGAUUUCUAAGAAAUGUUAUCUCCACCUUCACUGAAAACUUUUAUCAAUCCAGAGUAGGCAGUCUAGGUAGUGCAAGUCACAUUUUUUUUUAAAAAAGAAUAUUUUAAUGGUAGGCUAAUUGCACACUUUGUUUUAUACCUUGAGUGUGUUACACUUAAAGGUAACAUUCUCCUCUAUCCCAAAGGAUGAACAAUCUGUUCACAGUAUUUUGCUUCAGCCUUUAAGUUCUUUCAGCCUUCAUUUUGAACCACUCAUAAAGGUAUUUCAUUAUUUUCCAAACAGCUGAGUGGUCUUUUAUUGUAAUCACUACAAUUUGCAGAGCACUUGACAUCAGGUAAGUUUUCUUUCUCAGACCUCAGGACUUUCUUAAAAUUAGUACUUGGAUCUGACCCUGUCUUCCAGCCAGAGAUGAAUAGAAUCCAUAAUGCUUCAACAGUUGUCUCUGCCACUUCACUCGAAUCCAUCACUUCCCAAAGAGAAGUGGCAUGUUUGGGAAGUUAGCAAAGGUUUCAAAGUGCUUAUUCAGUGAGAGAUGAAUACUUUUUGUUCUUUAUGUUCUGAUGUAGCAUCAGAAAAGAAACAAAGCUUUGAAAUCUUCUGUUCAGGCAAUAAGGAUAUUGAGUGAGAAAAACAAGUAAAACAGCUCAAUUCUCCAAAAUAAUAAAAUUCUUAUCUUUGCUAUUGCAAUUUCAUGGGUAGAAAUCUGGGUAGAGUAGUCACCACUUGGUGAAGCAAGACUUUUUUCAAAUGUCAUGCUUUGCAUUGGUCAGACAACUGUAAAAACACUUCACAUCUCAGAAAACUUUAGUCUGGAUGGACCCAAUUUUUCUAACACAAUACCACAAUAACAUUUUGAAAUAGAUACUUCAGUAGAAUUGAAAAUAGGCUUUCUCUAACCCUUUACCUUACUAAUUACCUCCUUCUGUUAGAGUUAUGAAGUCCUGAUCCUUCAAUAUACAGAGCAGUUACUGCUCUCACAGCAGAUUUAAAUCUCCAGAGGAGGGCAUGAUGAUCAGAGGGCUGAACCACCUCUCCUGCGAAGACAGGCUGAAGGAACUCAGCUUGUUCAGCCUAGAAAAGAGAAGGCUGCAGGGAGACCCCAUUGGAGCCUUCUAGUAUUUAAAGGAAGUUUAUAAACAUGAGGGAAAUUAACUUCUUAUAAGGAUAGAUAGCGAUAGGACAAGGGGGAAUUGUUUUAAAUUAAGGGAGAGGAGAUUUGGAUCAAAUGUUAGGGGGAAGUUUUUUACUGAGAGAGUGGUGAGGUGCUGGGACAGUCUGCCCAGAGAGGUUGCGGAUGCCUCAUCCCUUGAGGUGCUUAAGGCCAGGUUGUGGCCCUGGACAAUCUGAUCUAGUACAUGGCUUAAUGGUUGGCAACCCUGCCUGUGUAGGGGGAUUGGAACUUGAUGAUCCUUGAGGUCCCUUCUAACCCAAGCCAUUCUGUGAUUUGUAUAAGUGCUUUCUAUUUUUCUGGAAACUGAAAGCUCUAUCUGCAGGAUAUAAAUAGUAAGCUGCAGAGAACCAGAGCUCAAAGAAACUAUAGCACACUGGAAGAAGAGUAUGACUCCCACCUUGCUACAACCUCCUUUCAGGGAGUUGUAGAGGGUGACAAGGUCUCCCCUGAGCCUCCUCCAGAAUAAACAAUUGCAGUUCCUUCAGCUGCUCCCCGUAAGACUUGUGCUCCAGACCCGUCACUAACUUCAUUGCCCUUCUCUGGACAUGCUCCAGCUCCAUAGUGUCUUUCUUGUAGUGAGGGGCUGUUUCCUCCUGAAUUGUGAGCAUUUAUUCUGCUCCCCAUCCCUGUCUUUCAACUCAGGGGGCUGAGUACCUAAUGAGUAACUGGCCUGACUAUUAAAGACAGAAGUAAAGAAGGCACUGAGAACCUCAGCCUUUUCCUCAUCGUUAGUGGUAAUAUUCCCUGCCACAGCUGGUAAAGGACAGAGAUUCUCACUGAUCUCCUCUUGCUUAUUUGUAAAUCAUUUUUGUCUUUAACAGUGGUGUCCAAAUUAAGUUCUUGCUGGGCUUUUACUUUUCUAAUUUUCCCUCUGCUUGUGUAUCCUAACAACAUCCUUGUACUCUUCCCAAUUUGCCCAUCCCUUCUUUCAAAGGUGGUACAGUCUUUUUACUGGAGUCUCAGCAAGAGCUCCCUGUUCAGCCAGAUGGGUCUUCUUUCCCAGCAGCUCAUCUUAUGGCACUCAGGGAUAGCCUGUUCUUGUGCCUUUAAGAUUUCCCUCUUGAGGAAUGUCCAGCCUUUCUGGACCCCUUUGCCCUUAAGGACUGACUCUGCAAGGGAUUCUCCCCACCAAUGCCCUAAACAGUUCUCAGUCAUGCCCUCUGGAAGUCCAGUGUAGCAGUUUCUCUGCAUCCAGCAACUUACUAGUGAAGAACAUUUAGCCUACCCUGCUUCUCAACAUUUGCUUUCUUAGUUAAAUUGUUUUACAUUGAGCAUUUUACAUUGAAAAUUCAAAGUAAAUGCUGUUAGGUUUCACAAGUACAGGUUUAAGGUUAAUGUUCAGAUGCUUUACCAAGGGACAUGGUUUAGUGGGGAAUUAUUAGUGUCAGGCAGAUGGUUGAACUGUUUGAUCUUGGAGGUCUUUUCCAACCUUGGUGAUUCUAUGAUUCUAAUCAGAUUAUUUAUGCAGUAAGAUUUAAUAUCUGCCAAUAUGUUGCUUGAUACUACUAGGAACUAGUUCUUUCAUUUGCAGUUUAUAAAUACUCAUCUUCAGACACUGAGGUUUUGAAAUAUCUGAAUAUUUGAAGCAUCCUGCAGUUACUGGUAUCAUGAGAUAGAUCUCAGUUGAACUGUUAGGAUUUAUUCAACAAAAAUGAUAUAUGCUUUAUAUAUAGUAGGUUCAGAGUUGGUUUUUUUUUAAGACAACAGUAACCCAGUGGCUUCUUGAGGAGUGACCUUGUGAGCUAUCCUUUCAUUUUUUCCAUGAUUGAAGAAGAGUGCUGCUUUCUUGUGCUCUCUGCUGAUAAAUUCAGGAUAAGCCUUCCUAAAGGACAUCAGCUGAAGGCAGCUCACUAGCACAUAGCCAAUGCUUCUUCCUUCCAAAAACCUUUUAACUAGUAACAAAGAACUCAAACUUGUGCUCUGUGAGCCUAACAAGACCCCAAGCUUUGGCAGAGGUUGUAAAUACAGAUGCAAUGGGGUUUUCUAUCAAAAGCUCACAGUACCUAAUUGACUGUAAAUGAAUCUGCAGUAGCUUAUGAGGUUUUACACAUAGUGCAAAAAAGCUAUUCAUAUUUCUGUAGGGGGAGCUCCAUGCAAUACAUUGUGAUAUAGAAGUACUUCUAUGGAGUAGUCUAGAUAUAAGCUGUCAGGUGAUGCUGUUUUUUCCCUUCUGGGCAUUAUUCCUCAGUUGCAUAGGUCUGGCAGCCAAUGCUGGUAGCUGUUUUCCCCUGCCACCACUUGUUGCUAGGCUUCUCAUCUGCUCUGCUAUUUCAUAUCAGAUUGUGCUAGAGACCGAGCAGUUAGGUCCACAGCAGCUCUCUGAGACUUGCCAUGCAAUAAAUGAUAACCUCCCUGUACGGUAAAUAAGUAUACAGAUAUUAUACAGUACACAGAGAAGUUGCUGGUAAGAUUACCGUGUUAGAAAAGAUAAUCAGAUAUAAAUGAAAGGUGCUCACCAGUGUUGCAGGCCCACAAAAACUCCACAAGGAGCGAUCUCCAGGAAGAGAUCCUUCCUCAAUGGCAGUCAGCCCUUAAAUGAGGUCUAGGAGAGAUGGAGCCUGGCUCCACCUCUUCCAGUCACACAGGUGAAUUGCCUUCACCCAUGCUCCUGUGGCUGACUUGGUGCUUGCCUUAGGUGGUCAGUCAGAGGUUCAGGUCAUGAUCCAACAGUUCCCAUACACCUCCCAUAAUGCAGGAUGCAACAACAGAAGGUGAAAUCAAAAUAUGAGUCUUGCUUGAAAUGUCUAAAUUGGCUACAUCUUUACACUGUUUUCAAAGUACAUUGCCUAUUCUUUUAUAAUUAAAGCUUGAAAUUAUUUUAUAUAUGCUGCAGUGAUUGAUUGCAAAAUGAAAAAGGAAUUUAAAAUUCUAUGGAGGGAAAGCUUCAUACGAAUUAGUGAUAUUCUUUUAGAAGUUUGAAGUAACUGUUUCUCUCUCAGUGAUUUCCAUCCUAUUCUCGGCAAGCAUUUUCUUGUGCUGUAUUUCUAGUGUUGUGAAUGCCAUUCCGGAUUGCUGAUAGACUCAAGACUCAAACAAUUUGUGGUCAGAUGACCAGGUGCCUUGAUUGGAUAAUUCUGUGCUGGGUUGCAGUAAGCUAGCAAAAUACAGACUAGCACUUUACAAAGAGGCUGCAUUCCCUCUAUAUAUAGUCUAACUAGGAGCUCAUGUUGUAUUCAGUUUUCUAUAGACGUUGAAAAACUGAUAGAGAACAGAAUUUCCCCUUCCAAGAUUUAAUAUGCUUUCAGUGCUACUAAAUCAGAAAUGUGUGUUCGAUUAUACUGUAAUUUUGCAAUGUAAUGCAUCUUAAGUGUGUUUUGCUACUUCCAAGUGCCACAAAAUUGUUAAUAUUUUAUGGAACUUGCUCCGUCCAGUAUUAAAAAAUAAUACUUUCUCUGUCUUGUACAACAUUCAAAAGCUAAAAAAUGCAGAGAAACCAUGAAAAAGACUAUAGGGAAACAGAACAGUUCAAUAUCAUUUCUUCACCUGUGCAAAGGUCAUUUUCAUGCACUAGAAAGCUGAGGGAUGCUGCAAGAUGAAGCCUGUGGCAAAUGUGGAGCUGAGAAACAGGCGAAACCAGAGGCAGAACCUCUGGAUCCAUCUGCUGCUCGUGAGUGUGGAGAGAUGCUUCAGUAUGUGCUGCAGAGCAACUAGGGAAAAAAAAUAAUUUGCCUACUAGAACUUUCCUCAUUGCACAACAUACAUACAGUGACGUCCUUAGAGAACAUAUUUCAACCUUGAAAGUCAAAGUGUUUUUCACAAACCUCUAGGUAAUACUAAUGCUUUGCAAACAAAGGUGCUUAAUUUUGUGCGUUUGAAAGGGGGAUUCAUUCUUUCAUGUGAUAUCUAAAUUUAAGUUCUUAUGUACUUCAGUGUUCUUCAGUGCUGCUUACUAAAACUGCUGAUGCAGGCAUCUUUGGUUUUAAUAUAGAUGCAGCUGAUCCGUACUAGAUUUGCUCAGCUUUGUUUCAUAGCUCUACUAAAGCUUUGAAUCAGAUCCAUUCAUGAGGCAUCUUGUACUACAUACAGAAGUACCCCUAGGGCACUGUAGAAAUUAAUAUUCCAUCUGUGAUUGUAGUUGAUAGUUAAUUUAUCACUUGGCAGUGAGAAAGAAGAGACUAGAUUACUGAUUAAUUAUAAUCAAGCUUCAUAGAAUGCUCACGUGUAGGCAGAAGUGGAAGUGUUAACAUACAGGUGGUAACCUUUUGCAAUCUGCAAUCUAUUUUGGUGGUGUUAAAUCUAGUUGUUUAAGAAAUAAAUAAGAACAGUGGUAAAAAGUACCAGUAAUUUUAGUUUAGCUAAUUAAAAUUUUAUGACUAGCACAGAGGAUUUGAAUUUAUGAUAUCCUCAAGUUUGGCAUGGGGAAAUAAAAGAAGUCUCAAGAGUUGACUUUUGCUGUAACCUGUCACAUCUUAUUACGCUGUUUCCAACCUACUCUGAUUUAAAACAAAACAAUUUUUUGUUCCUUCAUUAGAAAGGCAAGGAAACAGUGAUAUAACUACAACCAGCAUCUUCUGAAAUAAUACCAGGAUUGCUGUCGUUGACUGUUCUAAGAAACUGCAUCCAGUAGUGACCCUAACAUUAAUUAGGUUUUGUCAGCUGGGAAGAACCUUCAGAAAAAUACCACAAGGAGAUGUAUGUGAAUUCCAAUAAUCAUCUGAUACAUAGUUAUCAAAUGAAAUCCAGAGAAACACAAGAAUAUGUCCUCUUACAUACACAGAGCAAAAAAGUGAACAAACAAAUCUCAUCUGCUUAUGUGUAUGUGUGGAAAAGAGGUGCUCUUGGGCCAGCCUCUUCAUCUGGGCUUGAAACAUCUGUGCCUCGGGUAUAACUCCAGUUAUUUAUGGUUGUGCACACAUGCCUGCUCUGCACUAAAACUGUUUGGGGGUUUGGGUUUUGUUUUUCAACCAUAAUAAUUUUAAAAGAAAAAUGUUAGACUUUUCAGGCUAUCUAAUGAAUUCUGAUGUUCAUUUUUCCUAAUGAAUUCUUGUGCAGUGUCACAGGGUCAGAUAUAGCCUGAUGUGAAAUGUGUCAUCCUUAAUUUAUCUCUGUGGCAAAGACAUACAGUUGCAUUAAGGACAUAACUGAUUGGGGUUGGCUGUUAGCUUCAGGAAGAAGCAGGUGCAGGUUCAGUAAUUGGUUCUAAAAACCUCUAUCUGUCAGACGCUGUAGAUCUAAUAGAUAGAGAUCAUGGCAGAAAAAUCUGACAGCUUUUGACUCAGUCCUGUAAUCCAGUUUCACUAUUCUUGGAGUCUUCCACCUGUGGGAAAAAUGCUAUCAAGAAUAGUGACAGUAAAGAGUAUAUCAAAUGAUUUAGGAGUACUAAACUGAAGCGCUCUCGAAGCAGGCAUGCAUGGGAAGGACCCCAGCCCUGCUGCAUGUAGUCUUAGAAGGGAUCCAGUGCUAUUGUAGUUGUUGAUUGGAAGUGCAAAGCACUGUGCAGACUGGGCUUUUCUUUUGUCAUUAUUUCACCAGCUAAGAUGUAAUGAAUUGAUCAGUGGAUUUAGCUCAGCUAAUUGCAGAGCAUUAGUUACUGUUAUUGUGGAAACACCUUUACAUUCAAUUGGAAACAGUCCUUUAAUUCUUUCAGAGAGCAAGAGGAAGGUUGUGGAAUCUCCCAUACGGGUUUGCCUCUAUCCUAAAGAAACAGAUUUUGUUGCUUUGGAAUGGGAACAUUUUUGUUGUCCUUGAUCUUUUAAAGUAGACAAGAGCUACCAUACUUCUUUUCCCACUCUUCCGACUGUUUUGCUUGCUGUAUUUUCUUUUAGAAGACAGUGCUAAUUACGUAUUUCCUCAGUAUAGACUUUGAUCUCAUAGUAAGAGGGGAGUUAGAUGCCUGCAGUGCACGCUGCUGUUACUUCUGGAAUAUAUCUUUUUUCAUGUGGUUUACACAUUGGUGCUCUAUUAUGCUGCUUUUGUGUGACCUAUAAUUUUCUUGCUAGUCACACUUCUGUUCUAAUUCCACAAAAGGAUUCAUUUCUUAGUAGAUCAAUUUGGAAUACAUUUUAGACAUAUACAGCUAUCUGUUUUGCUUGCUCAUAAUAUGAUAGCUUUUUAAAUAUAUACUCUCCCAUGUUGACUCUCUUUAAUCAGUUACUCUAAGGCUGUUCCCAUAACUCCACUGAAACCUUAGUGCUCUCUGCAGUUGUAAAAAAGCACAACAGUGGUCAUGCUAAAAAGUGUCUUUCCAGGAUUAUUCAGCUAACUCCUCUGCAUCAUGUCAGGAUUUCACUGAUAAAUAACUCUGAGGAAAGAUCUUAAAUUCACAUAAGCCGAAAUGAAAGGUGAAAAAGUACAGAAAAAAUCUCGGAACAGGCUUGUCCUGAACAAACAAGAUAUGCUUUUUUUGCAAUAGUAUAGUUGUGGUGCAUCAGGCUGGCCCGGAAUUGGAAACGGCACUCUCAUUUGUCAUGCAGUAUGAUCAAGGCCAAUGCAGAUUUGCAGACCUGCACAACGGUGAUAAGACAUCAAUACUUAUUUUAGUGCCACUUUCAGUAUAAACAGGAACAGUUUGGGGUAUAAUGCAGUGGAUUUUUCUAGUGUUUCAUUUAUUGUCUGUAGCCAAUGAUAUAUAGGCAUUUUCUAUGCAGAGCAGUAGCUGUUGUAUUUCUUCAAAAUAGUUCUCAUAAUUGUGGUUUUGGAUGAAAAGAUUAUCUUUCAAGAUUAGAAAACACUAGGUUUGAGACUUCAGUUCACAGAUAGGUAGUUAAUCCUAAACCUGCUGAGCAAUUCUAGAGCCUUCAGUUUUACUGCUGGUAUAGUAAAGAUGAUGCUAUUCAUGUAGGUAAGAAUUAGCAGGGUUGGGCUUUUUCAUUGCUGAAGCAAUAACAUUUAAUUUUAUAAGAUGCUCUGGACCUUCUAUGCAGACCUAUGAAAUGGUUGUUCCCCAGGCUGCUACUUCACACGUGAUAGUGGUGUUUUGGGCUGCAGUUGGAGCAGAGAAGGCAAAUAAAAAUAAGUGAGAAUAGAUCGCUUGUGUCAUUAUGGUUUAAAGUCGAACUGAUCAAGCAGAAUUAUCUUUGCCUAGCUGCAUGAAAUCUGCAGUGACUACAGUAAUUUGGAUUAGAGGCAAACAGGAACAUUUUUAAGUGGAUUUAGAAAGACAUCUCAUGAUAAUCCUAAUAUGCUACAAAAUAACUGAUGAUGUAUUCAGAGUUACUUAGAACCGAUGGAAGAGAACUACAUGUGUUUCUGUAGUUUAAUAUCUGUCCUUUCACAUAAUGUAUACAGACAUGCAUUUACUUACUAACUCUUGAGUGAUAUAUAGGAAGUUGUUUUUUCUUAGUUUAUUUCUAAAGUCUUUCUGUAUUAUUUCACCUCCGUCCUUUUCACUUCAGUUAAAAUUCAAAUCCAUGCCUCCAGCACUAUUUAUGAAAUAAUUGAUCUCUGGAAAGUAAUAAGCAUGCUAAUUUAUUUAUUUUAAAUUUUCAUUUAAGUUCCAUUAUGUAUUGACUUUAAGUAUCCUUUUAUAUAUAAUUUUGUCUGUAUUCAUUUCUCAGCAAACCUCAUUGUUGUAACACUGAUGAUAAUGGGACAGACUGUACAAACGGCCCUAGGAAAGAGGAAACGUGAGGUCUUUGGUACAGACGUAGUUCUUUGUACUGGACAGCUGUCAUGACCUACAGGGAAGGGGAGUCCAUGAUAGCGUAAAGAAAGAUGCUAUGGGAUUUAGAAAAGUGACAGUAAAGCAGACUGUAAACUGUAGUGUCUCUAGGUAGCUACAUGUGAUCCCUAAAGAAUUUGAAAUAGAAUUCAAGUAACAAUUAUUCUGAUCUGCAAUUAAAGUUUAGUGAUGAUAAAACUAGACAUGUUCAAGUGAGAGACUACGUUACAGCAAAAUACAUGCUCCUUAAAUUCUUGUGCUGCUGGUAUGUUUAAGAGCUCUCCUUGUUAAGAGAAUGUAACGGUUAUUAUAAAAGGUAGACAUAUUUGAUGGUUUCCAGACAUUGUCUAUAUGACUUUUGUAUUGAGAAAAUAGCAGCUUGAUGAUGAAGUGCACUUUUCUACCAGAUGUGUUCUCCUGUAGUGCAGUGACCAGAGAACUUAACAGAUUGAUCAGAAUUUAUUUACUGUUAAAAUGUACAUCAUUUUAAUACUUAGAGUGGACGUAAGUCAAAUUGUAAAGUGCUUUUCCUAACACUAGGUAAAAUACUGGUUAUCAUUACCAGCAUAUCAUUUGAUAGAUGCAGUCAAUGUCAGCAUACUGUAAAUCCAUUUUUGUUUCUUUUGUUCAUACAUGGGCCUUUCUUGGCAAUACAUGUUCUGUAGCAGAGUCCCUGCUGAAAUAUAUCUUAACAGAAAUCAAUGAAUUGAAAAAGAAACUACAAUUGGAACUUAACGAAUGAGCCAUAUACUCAGUGCAAAUUCAAAUUAAAUCCAGUAGUUUCACUAAUAAGUGAGAAAAAAUUAGUCCCAGUCACCCAGGAAUAAAUAUGCCAAUGGUGAAAUAAAGAUAAACUUUUUCCAGGAAUUGUCACGUGUUGCAUCUUUUUUGUAUAGAUCUUGCUUCACUUUUCAGAGCUUGAUGUUUUAUUUGCUGAAGCCUGAAGCCCUUAGAUACUGUACAGUCUAUUGAUUUUGUUCUCCAUGCUGCAGCUAACGAAAUGGAUGAAAACAUAUGGUGAUGAAAAUGCUAGGAGUUCUUCAUCUUCACUGCACUGUACAGACAUUGGCUAAUGGAUAACUAUUAUCCUCAUUUUCACCUAUUAUCUGAAAAAGGUUUUAUUCUUUCUGGGGGGGAUUAAAAACAAGAGUAGCUUAAUUUUGCAGAACUAAAAUUUUGAUGUUCUGUUUUGUUUAGCAUCUGGGACCCCAGAGUGGAGUAUUUAAAUGAAAUAUUGAGUUUAGCAUACAAAUUAAGCCAGCCUGGUAUUCUGAGUUUCUCCGAGUACUUUUUUCAGAAUCAAAAGAAACAAGUAGGUGUUCAGUUGUUGGCACAAGCAGGAGAAAAUCUGUUCAUAUCCCAGGCUUAAGUAAUAGAAUGAAGUCUGUGUUUUUUCAUGCAGGAAUUGAGCAAAGUUGUAACGUUAUAAUUACAGAUCUUGAGAUCUUUCUUCAAGCACAGGAUCUUAAGAAUUUAAGCUGACAAAAAUAUAUCUCACGUGUCUAUGUCAAAUAAAAAUUAAUAAAUUGGCACUCUCAAGUUUUUACAUAAACUUAAUGAAAAAUUAAAUAGGAUUUAUUUUAUAUGUUCAUGUACAAGUAAUAUACUAGCAUGUACUUUUUCAUAAAGCAUCACUAAGGGAGGCUUCAGCCAGCACCAAAUAAACAGUGCUCUGUAAGAAAAAGUAGAAUCAUAGCAUCAUAGGAUCUUUAAGGUUGAAAAGACCAAUAAGAUCAUAUAGUAAUUUAUGUGUAAUUUAUAAUCUAUUUUGAACUUUAGUGGAAACAUUUAAAAUUCGGUGAGUUGACUGAGGGAUAAAGGCUGUCUUCACAUCACAUUCUGUGUUGUGUUUUUUUCCCCCCAAAAUAUGAGUAGAGCAGAGCCUGUUUAUUGUAUAAAAAGGAGUACAUGUUUACAUUUAUCAUGGGCAUUAUUAAAUACUUGCCCUGAAGAUACCAUGACACUUACUUAAGGUACUUAGCACCUUACACGAUCAGUGUCAGCAUCAGACAUAAUACCUUCAGGAGAAGUUUUAUUUUGAUAAUUCUUGUGAGCAGUCCACAUACUGCCCCAGGACAGACAAGAUUCUCAUGAAAACAUUUAAAUAUUUUAAGAUGACUUAAAAUAGAAACAAAGAGAUAUGUUUGCUUGUUCAGGUAGGGUCUGAAAAUGUUCCAGGAAUCCACUCAGGACUCCUGUGAAUAAGCAUAAUAAAAGUAUAAAUUUCUUCCUUGAUCUAUCUUUCACUCAAAUGGAGUAGCUGAUCAGAAAUAAAAUGUCUUUUAUUUUUAUUGUGUAACUCAGGAACGAUUUAUGUCUUCCUGAACCCCCCUCCAUUCCCCAAAUUACUCAUAAUAAUAGACUCAGAAUUUAUUAUUCAUAUUCUACUUGAGUUAUAUAUUUGUUAUAUGAGUUCUAGGUUGCUCAGGACUACUGUAGAAAGCUACAAAUAAACAUGACAUUUUGGACAAGAAAUUCCCACAUACUCUUUACUAUUUAUUUACUAGACUUAAUUUUUUUUUUGGAGUAUUCUUGGAUAAUUAUGUCUCUGUGCAACACCCUGGCAUAGUAACCUCUAUUUGUCCUCUACAGUAGGAGCACUAGUCCUCUGUUCUGGUGAUUCCUUUCUUACUUCAUGCCUUAACAAGAGGGUGAACAGGUCUUUUCUGCCAAGACAGCAGACCUUUCUUAUUCCAAAAAGAUAAAGUUAUUCCCUCUUUGACCUUUAAGAAACAUAAUUGCUAGAGUUUUAUUUGACUGAAAUCUGUGGGGUUGUUCAUCAAAUUAGAUUUGCUAGGAAGCCUGGCAGCAUUUCUGUAAAUGCUGGAGUUGGAAUGCUACUUAUUCAUUCAGCAUGCAUUCUUGGUUCUGUGGUGAGACAUAGAAAAUUGCUGCAGUAUGGUGCAGUGGUACAUCAGCUUGCUGCCACCUUUUGGCACCCAUCCCAAAGGUUGAAUCUUAUUGCAGCCAAGUUUUGCCGUACUUCUAAGCCCUACUGUGUAAAGGGCUUGAGAAAAUUAACUGCUCUCUAAUUGUAGAUCUCAAGGACAUUAUAAUAAAACAAUGUAGUAAUAUAAUAAUGUACAAUGCAGUAUAAAUGGCAGAUUGUAUAAUCUGAAAUAAAAUACAAUAAAAUGUACUGUAAAAGAAACAUUACAAUAAGCAGAGAGAAUUUGUUUAGAAUGCUAUGACACCAAGUUAUUACAGCAAGAUCAAUUAAAUCUGAUUGACCUCAGAGACAUAUUUAAAUGACUUUGGUAGGAAGAAGUACUAUCUUGGGUACAGCAUCUAGGAAAUGUACCAUAUUGGCUGUAACUUCCUUUCAUGGACUUUUAAUGAGUGAACAGAUCAUUUAGUGACUAUGUAAGACUGCAUACCUUUUAAACAGAGUUUUAACUUAAAAGGUAUUUUAGUCUUAGAAACAGCACUAGAAAUUAUUUUGAGACUAAAACAGACUCAUUCCUCUAAAAUUUUACAAGGUUCUAAUUUAUUGUUUCUUUUGUUUAAAAACUCAUGCUUGCAUUACUGCAUCAACUGCUUUAGAAGACGUAAGACCAAAUCCCUUGCAGAGCUGAACAAUUCAAGAGCUGCAAAACUGUUGGAAAAGUUUUCUUGUCCUUGGUAAGUAUUUCCAUCUCAGCCGCAUCGUUUUGGGGCAAGUCACCUCAGACAUAAAUUCAAACACAUUUUCAAAUGCUGAUAUGGUGGCUACAACUAGAUCCUCAGUUGUCUUCAUCAACUAUAUGUUAAAAUGAAUUUAGCAAACCACUGAAUUCCUUCCAACUCUACCUCAGUUGGUGCUGGGAGGAAUCUUUCACUUAUUCACCUAGGCACAGCAGUAGCUCUAAAAGCAUGGAAGUGUGUUCCUGUACCUCUGUGAGCCUACGUACCUUCAGUACCUGUGGAGCUCAGGAGGCACAGAAGUCCCUUGCCAAACUGGGAUUCUGAGAACUUAGGUCACACUGGAGUAGCCCUACACAGUGUUGCUAUUUAACAGUGCACCUGGUAUUACUGACAUGAAUAUUCACAAAAUAUUUAGAAUGCUAAUGAUAUCACUUACUCUAGAUGAAGUGUCUUACUGUCUUCAUAAUCUUAUCCAGCUUCUGCAGAAACAUUGUCUGUGUUUCCCUGAACUGCACUGCUUAAGGUAUUCUUUCAUAGAGGUCAUCUUAAAGAGUCUGGUCUAAAUCCUAAAAAAGAGGAAUAAAGAAAAAAAUCCAAAUUAAGAUGCAACUCUUAUCUGCUUACCAAGGAAAGUAUGCAUGAAAAACUUAGAUAUAUAAUAAUAUUUCAAAUACAGAUACUUAAUUUCAUCUGCCAAGCUGUAUCAGUUUAUUUUUUUGUUUCAUGAUUAUAUUCUGAUUAGUGUGAAAAGGAUAUUCGGUAGUAUAUAAAAUGUACUUGAAGUAUGUAUCCAUUGGAGUGAAUGCAUGGGCUCUUGAUUUAACUGAGAGAGAAAUAUAUGAGAUCAAGCAGAGCUUUACUGUUGAGAUUUUGAAUUGAGUGAAACAGUAACACAGAAGUUCAGUUGUCAUUAAUCUAGUAGGUGAAAAACCUUUGCAGGUCAUUUUGCUCCAACUCUAAAACAGGAAAUUGACCUCUUCUCUCGUCUGAGAAUGGAUGUUGUACUGAGAAAUGGCAUGUGUUAAGUAGAGAUCUCAGUAACUUAAAAUGACUGCAUGCCUGUUCAUUUAAUGACUUAAAGGGGUUUUCUUUCUUUUCAUACUUUUGUGCAUAGUAAAAAUACUAGUACAAACUUUAUGGAAGAAAGAAUGAUACCACAGUAUUUGCAGCAACACAUUGUAGGUGCUAAGCACACUGAGGAAGAUGUAUAUAAAAAUUUAUGGAUGUAGAAAUAUCACCCCAAACUUCUAUUUCUCUCUUAUGUUUAAGCUAUUACACCAAAUUGCAUUGCUCCUAUGACACUGCUGUAGAGUUGCUUUCUAUUUUGAGACUUUUCAUUCUGAUAGUCAAACAUCAGAACCACCACUCUGUUCUCAGCUGUCUUUACCAUUGCCAGCAUGUUUUUCUUCUUGAAAUAGUGCCCUCCCCUAUCAGUCUUUCAUGGUUCUAUCCAUUUCUGUGUCCUGAAAUAUUUUUUCAAGGUAUUCUUCCAAGGAAUCUCCUUUUUCUGUAGAAGCCUAUACAGCUCUGUUCACUGUUCUGUCUUGUUUUCCUUCAUGCCCUUAGUCUCCGCAAAUAUCAAACACAAAUUCAGUUUCCCCCUACAGACAAUACUUUUUUAAUCUAUCAUUCAAGCCUGCAAUUAGCACCUCUCUUUUUAUAUGCUCUCUUAAGUGUAGCAUAUCUUUCAGUAUUGCAUCCGUGUAAGUCAGCUUCUUUUACAUAUUCUAAUUAAGUCACUUAAUUUUUGUGAUGCUUCCUCUGACCUUGGUGAAAGCAAUUUCUUUUAUAUACGAUCAGACUACCACUGCAAAAAUCAUUUUCUCACACCCUGAUGUGACUGCAUCACCUCUUAUCUUGACAGCACUGCUUCCAUUUCCAUUACAAUAAUAAUAAUGAUUUUUUAAAAUGGCUAUUCAAGUGAAAACUUCUGAAGUUUUUAUUUUGUGUUCAUCAGCCAACUGAUGAGACUCUCGAUAUUUGAAAAGUCAUGGCGUUCAGGUGAAGUUCCCAGUGACUGGAAAAAAGGCAGUAUAGCACCAAUUUUUAAGAAGAGUAGGAAGAAUGCCCAGGGAACUUCUGGUCCAUUAGCCUCACCUCAGUGCCAGGGAAGAUCAUGGAGGAGAUCCUCCUUGGAAGCUAUGCAAAGGCACAUGGAAUUGAGGGAGCUGAUAUGGGACAACCAGCAUGGUUUCACCAAGGGCAAGCCCUGCCUGACCAACUUUGUUGCUUUUUAUGAUGGCAUAACUGCAUGAGUGGACAAGGGAACAUACACUGAUGUCAUCUAUCUGGACUUCAGUAAUGCCUUUGAUGCCAUUCAGUGAGAACUGGACAGGCUCAAGCAGUGAGCCCAGGACCUCAAGAGAUGCAAUAAAUCCAAGUGCAAGGUCUUGUGCCUGGGUUGUGGCAACCCCUGCUAUCAGUACAAGCUGGGAGAUGUAAGGAUGGAGCACAGCCCUGCCAGAAGGGACCUGGGGGUAGUGGUGGAUGGCAAGCUGGACAUAAGCCAGCAAUGUGCCCUUGCAGCCCAGAAAGCCAACUGUAUCCUGAACUGCAUCAAAAGAAGUGUGGCCAGCAGGGCAAGGGAGGUGAUCCUGCCCCUCUGCUAUGCACUGUGAGACCUCAUCUGGAGUAAUGCAUCCAGAUGGGGAGUCCUCAGUACAGGAGAGGAAUGGAUCUGCUGGAGUGUGUCCAGUGGAGUGACACAAAAAUGAUACUACGGAUGGAAAACCUACCCUGCAGGGUCAGGCUGAGAGUGCCUGGAGAAGAGAAGGCUCUAGGGGACCUGAGAGCAGCCUUUUCUGUAUCUAAAGGGGGGCUAUAAGAAGGAAGGGGACAGAUUCUUUAGCAGGGUCUGUUGCAAUAGGACAAGGGGAAACAAUUUUAAACUAAAAGAGGGGAGAUUUAGAUUGGACAUAAGGAAGAACUUUUUACAAUAAGAGUGGCGAGGCACUGGAACAGGUUGCCCAGAGAGGUGGUAGAGGCCCAGUUCUUGGAGGCAUUCAAAAUCAGGCUGGACCAGGCUCUGAGCAACCUGAUCCAACUGCAGGUGUUCCUGUCCACGGUGGGGGAGUUGGACUAUAUGACCUUUAAAGGUCCCUUCCAACAAAAAAGAUUCUAUGACCUAUGAUGGGACUUCAUCAUCCUUUUUUUUUUUUUUUUUUUUUAAUAACCAUUUUGUGCCUAAUCCCUUGCAUCUAGGAGAGAGUACUAUGAAACACCAGAAAUGAUUUAUCUAUGUCCUGCAAAUUAAUUUUGAAAAUUUUACUAAAGCCACCUGCAAAACAAAGAAACAAACAAACAAAAAGCAACAGAAGUGCUAGUUCUUACUGUGACUGACCUAGUCCUUGCGUUCACUUUUAUAGGAGUCUGCUGGCUUUUACUCUGUGAUUAAAUAAUGAACUUCUUAGGACGUAGAAAAUCUUUCUAUUCUGUAUUUGACCAUCCACUUAGCUAUUAUGCCUAAAUACUUUGUAAUACGAAUAGUAAAACAUAAUAGACUUUAUUUCCUCUGGCUCAGUGAACCGCCAACACAAGUAAGAGAAAUGUGUAGAUUUCUCAUCCUUCUCAGGUGGGAAAGUAGAAAUAAAUAUGAGAUAGCUAUUUACCAGCUCAUUUUUCUGAUUUUUUAUUACACUAAUAAUUUCCUUUGUCCAGUAGGAUAAAAUGUAAUUAAAACUUAACCUGCAUAAUCUCCAGGAAGUAUUAGUAAAAAUGCUUAUGGACUAUAAGGUAUGAUCACAGUUUCUCAAGAAGAAUGCACAAAUUAAGUUUUUUAGACAGUAUCAUGGAUAAGAUAUAAAAAUAAAUCAAUAUCCAGAAUGUAAUGUUCGGAUCCCAUUGGGUGUUUUCAGCUUCUGUAUGCAUGUCAUGUCCAUUGCCUUAACCUACUUAAAAUGACUGUGGAGGUCUGGCUGUAUGAUCUCUAGAGAGACAGAGGAGAACUUCAGUCCUCAGAAGUUAGUAAGGACUUUUAUUAGAAAUCUGGAAAUGAAGUGAGUACAGAGAGUGCCUGUGUUUCCUGGUGUGAGACACCUUGCUUAGUCCAAGUUUAAAAUUGUUCUGAAGAAUAGCUGAGGUAAAUGUGAAAUUGUUUCACACUCAUAUAACUGGUGUUAGUAAAGUUCUUCCUUCUCAUUUUUUCCCCCAUUUAGAGUUCAAAUUUUCCCCCACGUUACUCCAGAAGUAUUCAUUAUGUUUUCAAAUUGUGACAUCCACCUUGCAUAGAGGCCUAGGUGAUUUCCUGCCAUUAUUCUGAAAAGGUAGAUUUUGGCUUACACGAUUUCAAUAUGUGGGGUAUUCACCAGUGAUACAGCUCUAUCAAAAGUGAGCAAUUUAACACCAAAAAAUUUUAUAUUAUCUCUUCUUGAACAGAUGGUACCCUUCCUUAUUCUGUAAGCAUAAAUUACUGCUAAGCUUAGAAUAAUUUAUUCACUCCUUAGAAGUGUAGCCAGUAGCUUGCUAUCUAGCAGCAUGAGUGUUCACAUCCAUCAGCUCAAUUAGUGAUCCAAAAGCAAAACGCAUCUCUUGGGAUGUCAUAAUGAUUUUGAGACACACCUGGGAGGACUUCAGGCCUCUGCACAAAUAGGUGAAUAUGGAUUUCUUUCAUUCAUGAAAUAAUACUGUAGAGAAUCAUGUUAGGCUAAGAACUCCAGGCAUGAUUCAGUACGUAUUACCAAUGUAACAUAAAACAAAGCUAUGCUUGUGGAAAAAACAGUGCGAUGGAAAUUGCUUUAAGGACACUUCCUGUAUUUACUGUCACUUGAAAUAACAUACUGCUGGUUUUCUAAAGAAUGUUAAAGUUCCUGUAAAGCUAAGGAGACAUUUGAGGGAAGUUACUGUGCACUUUAAUUAUUCCUGUUCUUGAGGACAUUUUGUGCUCAGCUGUUUGGAUGAGUUUCAGCUGAGGUCUGAAAAACACAACCAAAGAAUGAGAAAACAGAGUUGAAGAAUAACCUCAGGAUAGUACUAAAACUUUAAAAAUCUUGCAGGUAAAGGAUUUGAUAAGCAUACGGAAUUAGUGGCUGUAUGCAUCUGGGCAGACACUACAAAUCUUGCAUAGAAUGCCCAAGAUGAGUAUGGGUAUGGUCUCAUGACAAAGCAUAAAUCCAGAUGAUGUUGUUGGAGCCCGACUGUGAUUCAGGAAUAAGGGCACAGAGCAUUCUAGCUGGUCUCUAAGAAUCACUGUAAUUUCUGUUUGGUGGCAUUUUUGUUUUACAGUUCUCUAUCACUUUAAUUAUGCCUGCAGGUCUUCUGCAACAGUCUGUAUGCUGCAACAGUCACUGAUACUGUACGUUUGUGGCUAGAGUUGUAACAGCUUGGGCCCCCCAGCCCCAGACACAGCACUGCUAUCCAAGAGUGAGAUUAGUCAACAAUUUGACGAUUGCUUAUUUUUAGUCUUAGAAAUGCACAAUGUGUGGUAGCUUUACCCCACUGAACAGCUCAUGGGUAGAUUUCCUAAAGAUACUACAGUACAUAAAUGAAAAUUUCGGACAGUUUACAGUGAUUUUUCCUCUGGGAGUUGAAUUUGUGAGCUUUACAAGUGUAAGCCUGAGGACAAAAAUAGAAUAAUACUUUGGCAUAGUCUUAGAUCACCUGACACUGCAAAAUUCAUCUUCUAGGCCUCCUAUCAUUACUUUCAACAGCAUGUUCCUUAAUGGUGACAUUCUUGUCUAUGCUGCAUGGGUGGGUUUUCUCAUCAGUAGCUGUCACUAUCCUUUGUCUAGCUGCUGAUCCUUUUUCAUUUUCCACUUGCUUUGCCAGUUUCUCCUCCCUUUCUCAUUUUCCAUUUUUCUCUCAUUUAUCAAAGUGCCACAUUUUGCAGACAUCCCUGGCCACUUAUCUAUUCAUAACUGCAAGUCCUCUAAAAGAAAUUUCAGUUUAGAUGCUUUCUUAUGAGCCUUCAGAUGUUGCCAUUCUUUCAUGCAUUUGUAGAGGCAUGCAGUUCAGAAAGUGUCAUGUUUUCUGAAGUGAGCUUAGCAGAUUAAAGUGUAGUGUAUUUUAUUAUUUAUUAUUUAACUUAACCUGCUUCAAAUUACCUGCUUAUUUUUCAUCUAUGAUUUGUACCCAUAAAACUGUAUUGAGCAUAGCUAUAACUAUUUUGAAGGAUUUGAGUCCUGUUUAGACAGAGACACCCGAAUUCAUUCACUUGAUUCAUUGACUGCCUGCAGUACCUCUCCUAAAAUACACGUCCUGUUGCUUUCAUCUAAAACAUAAUUACUAUGUAAUGGAAGUAGUUAGAGGUAGUCUUUUCUUAAUAGGUAGAUGGAGCAGAGGAGGGAUAUUCUCCUUAAUAGUUGCUGCUUUAGGAAAUAUGCUGAGAUAAAAAUAUGCUUGCUCCAGUCUGCUUGCUUUGUCAACUGGUGUCUUGCAGAGAAGGACUUGGGGGUCCUGAUGAACAAAAAGCUGGCCAUGAGCCAACAUUGUGUGUUUGCAGCCUGGAGGGCCAAGAGUAUCGUGGGCUGCAUCUAAAGAUAGGUGGCCAGCAGGGCAAGGGAGGUGAUUGUCCCCCUCUACUUUGCCCUUCUGAGGCCCCAUUUGGCGUACUGCAUCCAGGCCCAAGGGCCCCAGAACAAGAAGGAUGAGGAGCUGCUGCAGCGGGGCCAGAGGAGAGACAAAGAUUAUCAGAGGACUGGACUUGCUGAUGAAUGUAAUGGAAGUCUGGGAUAGAGAAAAACUUUUGUUUGUCACCUAAGAUAGAAUUGUUAUUCAGUAAACCGUUUUAACUCCUCUUCUUGAACUCUUAUCAAUACUUUGCUCUUAUUUUCCUAUCUGGGUCUCCCAGAAUUGGCAGUAGGUUAAAUAUGAAUUUGCAACCGCCUAGGAAAAGUCAUGCUAUUUACCUGUUGCCCCCCUGCUGAAGAACUGAAUUUGUACAGAAAUUUUAAUUAAUUAUGAGAUUUGAAAAGUAUUUUCAAAGAUGCCAGUUUCUCUAGUUAUUUUUUUCCAGAUGAGGAAAAUUUCCCGAGAGUUCAUUCUUUUUUGAUAGCACUGCUUCCUCUUGUAUGGUACAGAAUAUAGCACCGAAAAAGAUUGUAGCUCCUAGCACUGAAACAGCUGCUUCUGAGGACAUUAUUCCAAUCUCAGUUACUAAUUCCCACACUUCAAUUGGUGCAGUAUCUGUUGAAAUUUAACACUUGAUUUUUUUUCCCUGUUCUUUUUAUUCAGAAGGGUUUUUUUAAACUCCUUUUGAAUAUAUACCCAGCUAUACCAUUUCAUUUUUGAGUAUGUAAAAAUGUAAUGUAGGAACUUAUGGUCUAUAUUUAAUUAUAUAAUAUUUAAUGUAGGUUGUUAAUGUGAUGUGUAUGGAUUUUCUCUAGUUGGCUCUCCUGGGAAAGAUUAUUUUAGAAUGCAGUUGCCACUGAUGGCUACUAUUAAUGCAAGCAGUGAACUAAUUUGCAUUUCACACAGCAGAACCCUUUAUCAGACACAGCACAGGCAUGGAAAGAGAUAAGAGCAGCAGCAGGUCUCCAGGCAGUGGGAAAAGGGUACAGAUGGCAAAGGCUGAAGGAAGGUUUUCAGAGGCACAAAUGACAGUUGACACCUGACUUCAUUCAGGUAUUUGAAGCAUACCACAUCUUCUCUAAAUCUCAGACAUGCUUCCUGUCUAUAUUACACAUAACAAGAAUAACCAAACCAAAACAAAAACACACAAAAGCAAACAAGGAAAAAAAUCAGAUUUUUUUCAAUGAUGUGAUUUGGUUGGAGUCUGCUCAAAGAACAGUGUUAAUGAAGAUCCUUUGGUGAGUUUUGUGACUUUCACAUUUUUAUCCUAAUCUGACUGUCCAUAUUUCUUACAAUUCUCUCCUGGAAAUCAAGAAUAACUCAAACAUAGUGACAAUAGCUCUUUCUUCUAGCGACAUCUUCUUCCCCCAUACAGUUCACGCGCAGCAGAAAGGGAGACACUGCAGCUUAUCUGUCUGUGAUUCCCAGUGCUUUGGGAACGCUGAGUUUGGCACUGAAGCUGCUUUGCCAGUAGCCCUGAACAACACUACCAACUGGCUCAGCUUUCAAAGCUGUUUUCAGUCUCUACUGAUUUAUUUGCAGAAUAAUUCAACGCACAUCCUAUAAGUGCUCUGAAUAAACUGUCUCUGGAUAUAGACAGAGUCAAUUGCAACCUCAUGUUCUAAAAUUAUUAUUUCAGAAUAUAAAAUGCUACAAUACUCUAAAUAAUACAUAUGUAUUCUAGUGCUUUAAAUAAAUGUCUGUUUUAUGUCUUGCAAAUACUUGUGUUUGACUGAAGUCAGACUAAAUUUUUUCUCCAAUAUGUCGUGUUUUAAGAAAAGUGUACAACAAAACAGGAGUUUAUCUUAGUUUUUAGAUUAUGGAUGUUUUUCUUUCAUGCUCUGGAAUUAAGAGUUUUAAUACAGUUGUUACGGGCAGCUGAGGACAACUGAAGUCUCUGCUGUUACUGGGCAGCAGGAAUUUAUUACUUCCUCAAUAAUAGGAAGCAGUUGCAGCUAUUAGCUUAAUAUAGAGAGUAUGUUGAUAUGAAAAGUCCACUGCAGACGGGAGAAGAAUGGCAAAGGCCUAGGAGCAAGGAAGCUCUGAAUGCAUCCUCAUUAUCUUGGUAAGCAGUUUUUCACAAACUCAUCAGAGCAACAUAUCUUCCUACAGUGUCAGUAUCUUUCUACUAUAACAGUAAAGAUAGAGUUGGAAGACUUUGAGCCAUCAAAUCCCCCAAACAAGCAGAGUUUUAAUUACAUUCCUAUUGGUGCACAACACUCGAAUAGUUGUGUGCUAUUUCAUCAUCUCUGCUUUGGCUCCAUUGCAGUUUUUACCUUUCAGUCUCAAAUGGCAGCAAUUAUAUUUCUGCAUAAACCAAGCAGUAAAGUUUCCUCUAAGAUAACAAUUAGUGUUACAUCUGUUGGUAGUUAUCCAGAAGAGAAAUGCAGGUAAUACCAUGCCUCUCUUCAGAAGAGCAAGACUGCUCUGAAUGUAUCCUAAGGCAAAUCCUAAACCUCAGUGCUCAGCAUGAGGCAAUGAGGUACUCCCAGCUAUUGAGCCUUCUCACUAGCUGUGACUGUGCUUGUGGGGGCACAGUAAAAAUAAGAUGCCUGCCUUGUCUUCUGUUCUGUGACAGAAAGCUGCAGCCAACAGUAAGCACAGUUGUUCCUUCAAACAGUUAAUGCAUGUGUGAAUCAUGAAAUGUACAUGCUGUACUUGAGAGAUGCAAUUUAACAUUACAUAUAACAGAUUUUUGCUUUUGCUGAUCAUUUAAGAAGGAAACAAAGAAACAUGCACUGUUUCUGAGGCUUUGACACACUAAAAGUGAAAGAGUAAGGGGAAUACAGCUAGACUUUCUUUUAUGAAGAUUGCUGGGGAGUGAGGAGACAAUUAAAUCAGACUUCUCCCUUUUGAAAACAUCAUUAGUCUUGGACAGAAUUCCCCAUUGCUACCCUUCACGUUCCUUUCUUUCUGCUGCAGUUGCAAUACAAAAUAUCCUCCAGCACAUGCACAGGAUCUACAUCAAGGAGAACAGAAAAUUCAAGCAGAAAUAGCCAACCCAAUCAAAGUUUUAUAGACUAAAGAAACACUGGCAGCAUAAUUUAUUUUAAUGGAUGUAUUAAGCUUUCACCAUCUGUUCUGCCCCUAAUUAUAAAUGCCAAAAGAACAUAUUUCACAGUUACAUCAGUAAGAAGAUAUUAUUCAUGCACUUAUAUGUUACUUCUACACUAACGCUUCUACAGUGUUCUCAUACUGCCUACGCAAUUCAGAGCAAGCUGCUGGCAUCUGAAAUUGAACUUCUUGGUAUAAGGCAUUUUUCAGUAACAAUGUUUCAGUGGGAGGGGAUUUAAUGUAAGAUGUAUUUUUAAAGAAAAAUAAGUGGGAGAAUGCAAACCUUUUGUUUAGUCUCUGGGAGGCAUAUUUUUAUUCCUUAUCAAUCCCAAACACAAAUGUAUACUUAUAUAAGUUUUUCUCAUGUUUCAUAUGGUUGUCAGAAUUAAAACUGAGCAAAAUUACUGAGGUGCUCAAUAUUUUAAAAGAAAUAUUUUAGGAAUUGAUUACUCAUUUUGGUCACAGAGUGAACAAAAUCUAUGAAUAAUUUCAUAGCUUCUUAAAGAAAAUGUAUUUUCUGUUAGAGCACAGAAGUGUCUACUAGAUAUUUUUGCUUCUGUUCUCUAAUCCUGUAGCAAAUGUGUUGUGUACUUAUUUAACAUUUCAUUACUUCUGAGGAAAUACAGAGAUAAAUACAAGUAAAAAUUACUUUUAAAUCAUUUUGGGUGAAAUAUUCAGAUACUUUGCUAAAUAAAACUGACCAUAUAUGGGCCUCUAACUUGCAGUGGAAAAAUCAAAUUGGUGAUGGAUUAAUCUCUAGACCUUAAGCUGUUUCUUCUUAUGCAGACUUUGGAGAAGUACCUCUUUGCUUUCUUGCAUUUCGUUCCACAUGUCUGCUCAGAUGGUGUGUAUCCAAGUGAGGCAUAUAUACAGUUGCUUUAAGCUGCUUUAAGCAGUGUUAUAAUACAACCUUUCUUGCACCCUUCAGGGCAGAAGUAGGUAGACAAGUUAUCUCCACUGGGGAAAGUGAAGGGGGGCAUUUAUUCAACAAUGAAAAUAGAGUAAUUUAUAAUGCCUACAUGAUCAAGUCAAAGACCAUGUGAAAACAACAACAGAAGUCCUGGAAGUAAGGCUUAUUAGUGAUUAUGUGAAGGAAACAAACAAUUUAGAAAACCAUUGAUGCUAGCCUAGCAUUUCAUCCCAUAGAUUCACUGAAUGGAUCAUAUAAGAGAAGCUUGAGCAGUUCUCCCUAUACAAGACAUCUCUGCUGCUGGGCUGACUGGAAGUGUGUUCAGCACACAAGAUGAAGUGUUAGCAUUAUGCUAAUCAGUACGGUAUUACAUGCUAUGUGACAUUCAGUGUUGCAGAUUGUGCCAGUCCUGCACUUAAGAAAAAUAGAACGGAUAAAUAAAUCUUCCCAGUUAGUUUUGAUAGAGCAUGAUUUGUUUUGCUUUAACAGUUUAGUCCCUGAUAGUCACUUGACCUUGAAAGCAUUAAUCAUGGCAACUGUAUGAUGGAAAAGAAUCCUUGUAAGAAAAAGAAGCAUGUUAGCAGACUCUGGAUGGUCUGAGAAUCUCAAAAAAUCCAUAGUAAUAUAAUACAGAGAAAAGGAAAAUUAACUAGGGAAAAUAUAAUAGAUAUUACAUGGCUUGCACUGAAAUCUUAGGAGGAAGGAUCUAACUUUUCUUCUUGAAUACCAUUUAUGUCCAUGAAUAGGGUGGAAGGGACCACCCUUCUCAACAGCCUUAUUCCUCUGCAAUAAAUCAACCAGAGACAAGCACUUUUUAUAUUCUAGCAGCUAGAGACUCACCCUGUGCUAGCGGCUACAAAGCAAUGUUCUACAACAGCAUAAAGUCUAUAUGAAAAAAUAAUUAAAAUAUAUAGAUUGUAAUGUGCUGCUAAGAGACAAGAGAAAUGAAAGGCAUUCCCAGCAUCCUACUAGGAAUUUUUUUUAAAUGGAAGGAGGAUGCCAUGAUAGGGGAUUCGUAGAAUAAAAUAGAAAGGGAACAAAAAUCAUUUGUCAUUCUAAGCUGGGGAAAAAUUAUUUCACACUCACAAAGACAAAUAAAUAAAAGGCACCAAACACCUACGGAAACAUCAGCUUGACAGAAAAUGUUAGGAAAUUUCCUUUAAAAUAAUUUUGAUAUAAAAUAAACAUUAAAUGCUUGCAUUUCUGAAAAUGGGUAAAUGUGGUUCUAUGUACAAUCUGACAUGACGUCAUAACCUAGUUAAAGUUCAGGACUUUAAUUCUUGUCUCCUACUUAAUACACUGCUUUUUAUUGUAGGAAGCUAUUCUUUGAGCUUGUUGAAUGUAGUUUUAUAGCUGAAGCCUAAACUGUUCUGCAGUUGAAACCUUGUAUUAUAUACCUUUUGACAAUGAAUAUUUUCCCACUGUAAAAAAGGAAAAAAGAAUAAUGCGUUUAUUUUUCAAUUUCAUGCAUGCAUAUCCAAAGGGUGCUCCAAAAGUAGCACCUCUCAUUUUCCUAUAUUGGCCCACAACGUCAGAGUUGGAUGUUGGUGGUAUGGCAGUUCAGGUUGAACCUUCCCACCAGUAGUCCAUGACAUUUUUUUGCCAUGUGACAGAUGGCAGCAGAGGGGCAGUCUGACACAAUGGUAUCUGACAUGGAAGUGCAAAUAAAGCAAAGGGGUGCAACUGAAUUCCUCUCUGUGAAAAGAAAUGGCUAACUGAAUGUUUCUGGAAACCAAACAGCAGAUGUGAGCACAGUGAGGCAGUAUUUGCUGCAUUUCAGAAGUGGUGAAAGGAAUGUGAAAGACAAGCCAUGUUCUGGACAGCCAUGCACAGCUGUCACACCACAAAAUGAAGAGCAUCACAAUCAGCUCAUCUGCACAAAUCAGUGGAUUAUGACCAGGGAACUGUGUACAGAGCUGAAUAUCAGCUUCAGUGCAUUGGGAACAGUGGUGAAAAUGUUGAAGCACCACAAAGUUUGCAGCAUCUAUUUUACUUUCUUUCUAUUCCUGUUGGAUAUUUUAAUUUUCACUGAGUACAGGUGAUGUAAAGAUAAAUGGAAAGUUAACAAUUAAGCAGCAGAAAUUAAUUUUCCAUCCUACCUGUACCUAGGUAAAAUAAAGUUCAUAUUCGUACACUGUUUAGAUCAUCUUUGUUUCACAGGAAGAACAAUUACCAUAGUUUUUCCUUUGAGUGGUAAGGUAAAAAUUAAAUUUCUUAUUUAAAAUGGAUGCAUGUAAAAGAAGAGUGGUAGACAAGAAAAUGGAAUGCAAGAUUUAAAAAUCAAGUUUCAUACACAGUCUGGUUUUGGGUGUAGAAACUGUGCAAUUACACGUGGAAACAUGUUCUUGAGUUUUUGAGGUAAAAUAAGGAUGAAGACAGAAACAAGGGAUGAAAGGUCUUAUAUUCUCUUUGCUUCAGAAAAAUAAAUAUGAAACCUUAUGCAUUUAUGCUGCCAAGUACACAAUUGCUCAGAUGAAACUGUAAUAUAUAAACUUUAUAUCUGGGGAAAGUACAUGUUUAAGUAUAACCAAGUCCAGUACAAGUAUGAAGCAACAUAUCUUCUAAGAUUGGACAAUACUUUGAGUGUCCUUAUCUCCUUAAUUCCCUUGGAGAUGCUACACAAUAUUGUUUUCUGUACAGAUUUUUUUUUUCUGGUGACUGUUUUAAGUCAAGUAUGCUGUCAUCAGUGUGCUAUAUUAUCAGCUCAAUUUGUUAUUCUGAUAAUAUGAAACUGACUGUUGUUCAAACAUGACCUCAUUCACCUUGCAUGCUUUUGUUUCCUGUCUAAAUUAAUGUUGAAAUUGUGUCUGAUGCACGUUCUUAGCAAAGAUAAGUCGGAUAUUUUUAGGAGAAAGCUUGUUUAUGCUUUUGUUAUCCUGAAAUAAGUAGUUGUGGCAGUUUGCUGUGUAUUUUUAUAUGGAUUCACUGAAGUCAGUGAUACUAUGUUCUUAAAUAUCCCCUAAAGAAACAGCUGAAAUUUCCAAGCAGAAAGCAAUCUGAAAAUGCUAUGUUUACUGCCCUUUUGGUUUUCCAAGACAGCCCAUUACUAACUGCAUAUCUGCAGUCAUUUUAAGCCUUGCUUCUGUUCAGCAUUGAUUACUGCAGCAUGUCGUCAGCUUUGCUGUAUCAGCAUGAAAAAAAAUCUUUUGAUGUGGAAAGAAAGAAGUGAAAGGCAUUUAGUGUGCGCUUAGCACCAUAUGUGAGUAUAAACUCUUAAAGUUAUACCACGGCAGUAGGUAAAUGCUUAACCUUUACUCCUCGUUUCUUCAUAGAACCAUAUGACAUUUACAGAUGACUGCAAUAAAUGGAAAAAGGAACAGCUUUAAACUUUUUGUGUACAGAUGCUCAUCUAACAAGUUCUUGAUUGUCAGCAUCCAUUUUUUUUUUAGUUGGUAUUAACUGGCUUCAUAGCUGCAAGCUCACGAGCCAAGGGAAAGCAACGCCUCUCUCUCCUGCCUCCUGCAAUAGGAACACACUUAUCCAGUUGUCUUCUUGCACAUGUUAUUUUCAAACAGCCCUUACAAAUAAUGAAAA
This 26990-nucleotide long non-coding RNA is filed under the name Gallus gallus (chicken). The record is from RNAcentral. Lineage: Eukaryota; Metazoa; Chordata; Aves; Galliformes; Phasianidae.